Molecule: transfer RNA, 71 nt
Filed under: Cordylochernes scorpioides
Lineage: Eukaryota; Metazoa; Arthropoda; Arachnida; Pseudoscorpiones; Chernetidae
Description: tRNA-Gly
Source: RNAcentral
UGCAUCGGCCGGGAAUCGAACCUGGGCCGCCCGCGUGGCAGGCGAGUAUUCUACCACUGAACCACCGAUGC